Molecule: non-coding RNA, 19607 nt
Organism: Monodelphis domestica (gray short-tailed opossum)
Lineage: Eukaryota; Metazoa; Chordata; Mammalia; Didelphimorphia; Didelphidae
Source: RefSeq, a predicted model, not a curated record
GCUCAUCCUGUACUUGAGGCACUAGCAGAAAAAAGACUGGGAACAUUUUGUAUACUUUGUAUACAGGAAUCUUUCUGAGUCACGUGGAGGCCAUUGUCCUUCAGAACCUUGCAAGGCAGUUCCACAAAGCUAUGGGAUGGAUGUAUUUUAUUUUUUGCUUGGAUUAGCCAGUGGACACAGGGGUCUCCUAACUGGAGGUCCCCAGGGCUCUCAAGUGAAGAAGGGACUCUCUUAGAACCUAAGCAAAGGCACUGGCAGGAAACUGAAGAUCGCCUAAGGAGAACAGCAAGUAACUCAUAGGGUGAUGCUGAACCCAGAGCAGGGACCACUUUGUCCAGCCCCAACCAGUUCCUCCUUGGAACUGUGAAAAGAAAAUUCUUCCUUAACUUUGCCUAUUCUGAAUUCACACUUGUGAAAGGGAAUCCUUUAUUCCCUUUCCCUAUUUUGAGUUAACACACUUUUUGAUUGAAUCAACAAAAACUUGAACUAGGUGGAAGAACUUGCAAACCACUUAGAGAAUUCACAUCCUUAGAAAUUCAAUCAAUCAGGAAACUUUGAACCUAUUGAAGAGAAAUUGACCUUCAGAGGAUGACCUUCAGAGGCCUUUGAUAAGAGGUGACCCCUUCUGAGGAUGAGAGGUUUGAAUCCCAGACACUGCCCCCUGGGUAGUGCUAGACAAUUUGGAAACUGUGAUUGACCCUUAUGAAAGGGGUAAGAGACAAGGAGCCACUAUAAAAGCCCCUGAAUUUCUGGGGCAAGGGAAGUCAACUCCAAGAAGGAAGUCAGCUUAAGGAAGAAGAUCGGCUCAAGGAAGAAAGUUGGCCUCAGGAGUCACCUUCAGCUCCAGUCAUGGUCUUGACCUGCCUCUUGGAGGGAAUUUGGGUCCCAGCACAAAGCAGCAACUGCAACAGGCAGAGUGCAGACCAAAACCUGGAAAAGAGUGCCGAGUUUAAGAACCAAAGGACCUGAAUUCAAAUCCAGCUCUGCUACUUACUACCUUGGUGACUUUAGGUAAGUCUUUCCCCUUCUCUGGGCCUCCAUUUCCUCAUCUGUAAAAUGAAGGAGUUGGACUUGAUCAGGGGUUCUUAACCUAGGACCCAUCACCUUGUUCUAGAUGGAAAGAGACUAUUCCAAUGCCAGGGGUCUUCCUUGGAAUCUGAGGGAUUUUACUUUGUGCCCUGAACACCAUGCCCUCUGAGAAGGGGCCCACAGGCCCUCAGAGUGUUAGGGGGCCCACCCAAGACCCCCAAAGCCUAAGGGCCUUUAAGGCUCCUCCCAAUGCCCAGGAGAACUUCUUUGCACCACAGCAGGAGCCCCCGUCCUCUCAGUCCACAAGCAUAUCGUAAGCAGCUCCCAUGUGCCAGGACUGGGCCCAGCUUCUCCUCAGGCCUGGCAGAGCUCAUUUCAUCCACCAUGCUUUUCAGAAGCAUCACUGGCCUCCUCUCCAGGCCCUACACUUUGCUAGCCUGGGUGUGUGUGGCCCUGAACCCGUCGCUACAACUCUCUGGCCUUCUCAUCCAUAAAAUGAGGGGGCUGGACUAGAGGGCCUCCAAGACCCCUUACACCUCUGGGACUAUUUUACCAGAAUCAGGUUGGGUGGGUGUAGACAGACUCCUAGAACCAUGGUAGUCUCAAAAGGUCAACACUGAGGUUAAGGAAGACCACGAAAGAGAAGACAAGAGACAAGGCAAGAAUGAGGAGGUAGAUCGUGGAAGGAGGCAACCAGUCAGAAAAGAAGGAGGGGAGGGCACAGCAAAGGAAUAGAUAUUUACGUAGCAUUUACUAUGUGCCAGGCACUGGGCUAAAUUCUUUAGAAAUGUUAUCCCAUUGGAUCCUCACAACUACUCUGGGCAGUAUGUACUGCUACUAUCCCCAUUUUACAGUUGAGAAAACCGAGGCAAACAGAAUUUAGGUGACUUUAAGGGUCAUAAAGCUAGAAAGUGUCUAAGGACAGGUUUGAACCCAGGUCUUCCUGACUCCAGGCCCAGUGCUCUAUCAACUGGGCUAUCUAGCUGCCUUGUAAUAUAUUUUUGUGUCAAAACAUGGACAGUGUUGUGUGAGAAGCAGCUAGGAGGUCAAUGUCACUGUAUUUCAGAGUGGAGAGAGGGGAGUGAGACAUAGAGACUAGAAUGGUAAGAAAAGACCAGGCUAGGAAGGCCGUUAAAAGCCAGAGGAUGCUCUAUUUGAUAGAGGAGGGAAUAGCAAUCCACUGGAGUUUCAUGAGUAGGCGGUGCCGGUGCCGUGGUCAGAAGGAGCAUCAAUCUGCCAGCUGAGUGCAGGAUACAAUGGAGUAGGGAAGGCUUUUGACAGGCACAGCCACAGCCAGGCAGGAGGUGAUGAGGGCCUGCACCACGGUAGUGGCUGGCUCCGAAGAGAGAAGAGUGUGGGAGAAAUGUGUAAAGGUUUGCAACAGAUUGAACGGGGGGAGUAAAAGAAAAUACAAGGUGGAGAAUGACACCUGGUUGUAAGCCUGGGUGACUAGAAUGCUGGUGCUACUCUCAGCAGUACGAGGAAGGCUUUUGGGAAAAAGACCAGCAGGCUCAGUUUUGGUCACGUCAGAAUGAAGAGAUCUGUGAGGCAUCAUCCAAUUUGAGACACUUUAAGAGACAUGAGGCUGGAGGGUUGGACCAACAUAUGAGAAUCCUUUCCACGGAGAUGAUAGCUGAAUCCAUGGGAAUUCAUAAGAGAGACGAGAAGAGGGCCCAACCUAGAGCUCUGAGGGAUCCCUGAGGGUCUGACCAGGAUUAAGAUUCAGUAAUGGAGGCAGAGGAGUAGUCAGACAGGGAGGAGGAGAACCACAAGAGAGCAGUAUCAAGAAAACCUAGAGAGAAGAGAGGAUGGAGAAGAAAAGGAUGAUUAAUGAGUGUCAAAGGCUACAGGAAUGUCUCUACCUUUUUUCCAGCAGGACUCCAUCCUAUCUUUCCUAAACUUUGAAAAGUCUAAAGUUACAGGGGAAACUAGGUAGCUCAGUGGAUAGCCAAGUCCUAGGUUCAAAUCUGGCCUCAGAUACCACCUAGCUGUAUGAUCCUGGGCAAGUCACUUAACCCCAACUGUCUAACCCUUACUGCUCUUCUGCCUUGGAACAAAUACUUAGUAUUGAUUCUAAGACAGAAGGUAAAAAUGAAAAAAAAAAAAGACUGAAACUACCCCCAGAAAUAAUGAAAGACAAUUCCUAGAACCUUAUGCUCAAGAUUGGUAUUCAUAACUAAAUUCAAUAUGUUUUUUCAGAAGUUAAAUGGGGCAAAGCAACCUCUAUCCCCAAUCCCUCUGUGGCCCUGGGCAGGUCUCUUCACCUGAGUAUCACUGGCCUCCUCUCCUGGUCCCACACUUUGCUACCUUGGGUUACCUUGGACUAGUCACUACAACUCUCUUGGCUUCUAACCUAUAAAUGAGGAAGGUGGACUAGUAGGCCCUAGAGGUCCCUUAUUUAGGUCUGUGGUACCAUGCUCCAGCUGGGUGGGGAAUCAUGGUAAACCAUUCAUUCACCUUCUGAGGGAGAAGGGUCCUGGCUCCGGGGCUGGGGUUUUCCCCUCUUAGUACCGGUGGGAAGGCUUUAGAAUGAGCCAGGGAAGCCAAGUCUGAUAGGAGCCCUUCCCCCUCCACUUAGAAGUACUCCUCUCCUCUCCUCCAUCUCAAAUCACUUUGUUUUCACUUACCUUUAGAUACCUAUACCACCCGCCCACACACAGACUAUAACUGUUUCUUCAUCUGAGAAUGGGCUUUGAUGACCACUAGCCUCCCGUGUAACCCAAGGCAACUCUCUUCCCCACUCUGGGAAUCAGAUCAUCAUCUGUAAACAGAAAUCUUGGUGCCGGCAGUGGAGUCGCCAUGGCCCUGAAACUUCGGAGACGGAUUCCCGGCUAGAUAUCGCUGCCAGCCCAGCAGAUGACAUGGGAAACCAAGGCUUAGAGAGGGGAAAUGAUGUCCCCAAGUCACAUGCAUGAAAACAAAAACAAAGCCUAUUAUCCUACGCAUCCAUAGUCCAGAGAAGAGAUUCCCUCCCACAUUGACUGGAAGUGUCCGGCUCUGUAUUUUACGACCGUCACCUCUGCGGCAGGCAGGAGUGUGAAGUUCGCCACUGGACCUGAGACCAAAGAGAGCGAGAUGGUCGGGCUGCCCAAGAGCUAUACCAGUUACACAGGAACUUCAACUCCAGACCGUGGUUGGAAGCGAGGGGAGAGAGCCUCUGCUAUGGUCUUCAUCAGGGACAAAAUCACAUUCAAUCACCUGGGAGCAAGGCGGACCCAGGAAAAAGAAAAGGAGUAAGUGAAUGUCUCUGAUGAGGAGGAAAGGGCCCUGGGGCCCUCCUCUCACAGAUCAGUACCCAACCUCAAUCUUGGCCUGGAAUUUGGAGAAGAAUAUCCAGGUUAGAAUAACCUGGAUGCUGGUCGCUGCCUUCCCUCAGUCCAGGAGAAAAAGGGACCCUUCUGGUUAAGGAAAGCUGUUUGUGCCCUUGAAGACAACUGAUAAAUACUAGAACUGCGAUCUGCUGACUCCUAAGUCCAGUGCCUUUUUGGUGGAUUCGAUAAACCAGACAUGAAAGAGCCAACCAGCAGCCAAUUCCACAAGUGCCAAUGAGGCAGGCACUUCAAGCAGCCAGCACAUGAGUGAGUAUGCGAUCACAUCUCAUGCUACCAGGGACAGAGAAACAAUGCUCUUCACUUCUGAAGAGAACCCCCCACCACACACACACACACCACAGUCAAUCUCUCUCUCUCUCUCUCUCUCUCCCCCCUCUCCAAGUGGGCCAAAGGAUGGGGAAACCCCCAAAGCAAUUAGCUAAACUGAGCAGUAGUCUUCCCAAGGCCAUGUCGCCCAGGCUCAGGUUGCCUUGCUCAGCCCUGUGUUCCUUUGAAUUCCUUUGGAUUUCUCUCCACUCACCCUUUUUGGCUUUCUUGGAUGUGUUGCCUUCCUCACAUAUAAGCUCCCUGAGGGCAGAGACUGCCUUUCUUUUUCAUAUUAGUAUCAUCCCCAAUGGGCAGUGUUGGGCCAGGCCAGGUCAGGGCCCUCAAGAAGAUUUGCAACAGGCCAGAUAGAAAUUUCAGUGGAUAAAGGGCUGGGCCUGGAAUCAGGAAGACUCAUCUUUCUGAGAUGGAAUCUGGCCUCAGAUUCUUACUAGCUGGGUGACCCUGGGCAAGUCACUUAACCUUAUUUGCCUUUGUUCCUUCAUCUUGUCAAAUGAGCUGGAGAAGGAAAUGCAAACCACUCCAGUUAUCUGUCAGGAAGGGGUCAAGGACAGUCAGACAUGACUGAAAUGACCAAACAGCAGUCAUCUCCCCAGGGCUUAGCAGAGUGCCUAGGACUUAGUAGGUGAUUCAUAAAUGUUUCCUUAGCAAGGUGGCCUGCAGAGCAUCCACCUAAAAGUUUGCACGUACCCUUCCAGCUCAGAUUUCACUGCAAAAAUGAAGCCUGUACUUGGUCCUAGAGUUUUCCUGGUCAAACCAAUCAACCAAAUCCAAAAGGAGGAACUUGCCCAAGAUCAUCCAGCAUGGCCCAAAUAGCUAAGUACGGAUUACUAGGCCUGAGCAGCCAGCACCUCCCAGCUUCCAGCCAGGCUAUUUUGGGCAGCGUUGGGCCAGGCCAGGCCCCUGAAGAAGAUUCUCAACAGGGCAGAUAGAAUUUCUUCGGCAGCAUUCGGGGAACAGAGUUUGCAGGGAGCAGAAAGGAGGGAUUGGAGGAGAAGCAUGCCUGUGGCUGUGAAGCGAAGCCAGGCCCGCCACCUUAGGAAGCCCUUUGCUAAGGACUGCUGUACUGCCUACUUGCCUUAUUUUCUCCAGGAACAUUAAAUUCCUGUUAUACACCAGGUACUGUCCUCAGUACCUGGGCUAUGGAGAUAAAGGAAAGGCAGACCCUUCCCUCAAGGAGCUUAUGUUCUAGAUUGAGAGAGAGAGAGAGAGACACACACACACACACAGUCAGCAGGCUUUCCUAAAGCACCUACUAUGUGCCAGGCCCUGGGGAUUCAAAGAAAGGUAAAAGACAGGCCUGUUCUCAAGUUGCUCCUAGACAAGACACACGAUAAUACUAGAUAAAUGGGAAAUAAUGGGGGGGUGGGGGGGGGGGACAGGGACAAGAAUUAAGAGAGCAGAAAAGGCUUCUUGCAGAAAACGGGAUUUAGAGGGGAGAGAACAUUCCAAAGAUGCGGACCUGGGGGGAGUGGGGUGAAAAUAUUCCAAAUCCUGAGGAUGGACUGUCUUGUUUGGGGAACAGUAAUGAAGGCAGUGUCACUGGGGGGGGGGGGGGGCGGCGCAUGUUCUGAACAUUUGAUCAUGUGAUAAGCUUAAGGGAUGACAGGUACAUAUCACAUUGGCCCACUGGUUAUUUUCUGUCAGGAGAAAUUGAGGAAGGGGAGGGGGCAGCACAACAGAUGGACCCUCUGUUGCAAAUUUAUGAGAGGGCAUGGACAUGGGUGGGCUUGGAAGGAUUACAAGCUGCAGCUAUCCUGAGGGAAAAAUCUGAGUCAAUGAAAUGACAGCUCCGUUUUGAGUGUUAAGUAAAGGAGCAGCCACAGAAGAUUCUUGAGCAGGUGAGUAAUGUGGUCAGACCUGUGCUUCCAGAAUAGUACUUAGGAACCAAUAUAGAAGAUAGAUUAGAGAGGAGACAGACAGCUAUAUGCUUCUGGUAAGAGAAGUCCCAAGAAUCUAUGUACCCAGAAACUAGCAGAGAGCACUGAGGCAGUAGGCUAGAGGUCUGGGAUAGAGGAAACCCAGCUCCGUGGCAGUCCCUUCCCCCCUUUAGACUGCUAAAAAAUGAGGAAGGCCUCUAAGAUCCCUUCCACCUCUGACAUGCUAGGAUUCUAUAUCCAUAGUGCUAGAUUCUUACUGCCCGUGUGUCCUUGGACCAGUCCCUUCCUUCCUUCUCUGUGGCCUCCCUUCUCUAUAAAAUGAGGGGGUUGGCCUAGACGUAAGCUACUCACUGCCAACUCUGACAUUUAGUGAGUCUGGAAGACCAGGCCCUGGAAGUAGCAGUCAGGUGAAGGACUUUUCACCUUGGAUGCUGGGAGAGCACUCCCUGUUGGACUCUCCAGUAAGGCUUCUCUUCCCCAUCCCUCGGCCUCUGCGGCUGAGGCUGUCUAGCUUACUUGGGGUUCCAUGGGAAGGAUUCUUGUCAUCAGAACGAGAGUUACGCACAACAUACCAAUGGCUUACUGUAUGAGGAUUUGGGAAUCUGAAAAGCACCUUCUUGGCCUAGAAUCAGCCUGGGCAGAACUGGGGUGACUUUGAAAAGGCAAUCCCAAGUCAUCUCCCAAUUGGGAUACGCCAGGAGGAAAGCUCAGGGGGCUUGUGGGAAGGGGCUGGGGCCCUUGCCAGGACUUAAGUGAGAAUGUCUAAGGGAUAAAAGCAUCGCAGAGGUUGCCACAAAGAUGGGGCCAAGAGGAGGAGGAGAAAAAGACAGGGCAAUGCAGUGGGAGCAGGCUAUUGCUGAAAAAAGGGAAAACACCCAGGAACUUGGCAGGUCUGGAAAAAGCAGUGCUAGAAGACCUGAGUUCAAGUCUUGCCUCUGACAUGAAGACUAGAUGACCCUGCCAGGUAACUGGAUCUCAGUACCUCUGGCAACUGAGACAAAGGAGGGUUAAACACACACCACCGCAGAGUUGUUUUAGAAACAUUAGCAAACUCAACAGGGAAACAAGCAGGGAGCGGAAAAAGGAAGGCAAACCACGGAGAUCUAAGGGGGAGGCCCAUCAAGGGGGAAUGGUGGGACAAAUUCUAUAGGAAUGGAAUCUUAUUGCGCCAUGAGAAAGGGAUUUCCGAGAAUCCUGGCUUAUGGGCACCAAUGGGAGCAGAACCAGGGAGCGAUUUGUUCAGAGGAAAGAGGCCUCAUGUUGCUUGGCUGGGCUUUAUUACCAGGCUGGUGUUCUGCCCCCUCUCACUUAUAAUCUGAGCAAGGAAGGCCGCCUGCCUGGCGGGCUGGUUGUUCCCACUGUUGCCCAAAACAAGGCCAGGCCUCAUUGCUCCCAUGAUUAGAACACAAUACAGUUCAAAAGGAAUGACAGACAAGCAGGAGAGCUUUGAGAAUAACAUGUGAGGUUUAUUAUAAACUUUCAAAAAGCAACUGGCAGGGCUUGGAGCUUCAGUUUGAAACCCAGCCCUGUGUGGCGGGUGUGUUUGGGGAGAUCCCCCAAAGCUCAUCUGCGUUCAAGUUCAGGAGUUACUACUACUGCUACUACUAACACCGGUUAGCCAGUUAGCUGGUUAGUAGGAACAUAGUAAGAGUGACAAAUAGCUUUCAGUGCUGGAUGCCACAAAGAAGGGACUGGUGGACAGGCCACAGGGAGAGUGUCUGCUGUAAAAACCUCGUUUGAGCCCCCCCAUAACCCCAAUCCACUCUCCUUCGCAACUUGGGCCCCAUCGCCCUCCCAGCUCUCUAGGCUGGCAACCUCACUGGUCCGGCCCUCCAAAUGGAAGCCCCCUUCCCAACAUCUGGGCCCACUCUCCUCAAAUUUGACCCAUUACGCUAGGCCCCAGCUCAUCCUCCACUCAGCUUCCACCAAGUCACCCCCCCACACACCCCCAUCAGUAAACACCUGGGAGAGCAUCCAAAAAGGCCCUCCCAACUGGCCCCUCUGCCCUAAUUUUACAGUCCCUCCUCUCUCUUCCCUCCCUCCUCCCCCCAUCAAUGUGACUCCUAAUUUUCCUAGUUCCCUAAGAAGACAAUACAACCCCCGCCCCCAGGCAUUUUCAUCCCAGGGUCCUCUCCAAGCUAAAAUCUGGCCUAUUCCUUCCCCUCAGGGUAGAAGAAACAAUAAGAAGUUGCCUAAGGCCCCUGGGCCUCCACCACUUCCCCUCAAAGCUAGGGUUAAUCACUAUUCAAUUACCUAACCAGUUUGGGCCUCAGUUUCUUCAAAUGUAAAAUGAGUGGGUAGUACUAACCGGCAUAACCAAUUUCCCUAAUCCUUCUGGGCAGUCCUUCAGAUGAUCAGUAACAGUAAUCAAUCAUCAGCCUAACAAGGAUUUGAGCCUCAGUUUCCUCCAGUGUAAAAGGAGUGGGUAGAACUGAAUAUCAAUGGCAGUCAAAGGUUUGCAAAAAGCUUGCCUGGGAACCACAGGUGAGUAGAGCAGUGCAAAUACUAUUGUUCCCAUUUUAUGGAGGAAGCUGCUACGGCUUGGAAGGCCACUGGUAAGUGUCAGAGCUAGGAUCUGAAGCCUUGUGGCCAGACCGCACCCUUAUGGCCCCAAGCCCUCCUCCAAUGUGGGAAUCAUGAUGAUGCCAAGGACCAAGCACUUCCUGAGGGCAGCCCCCAACCUUUCUAGUCCAGUCUUUCCUGCCAAGUCCUCCGCCAGGGCCUCAUAGUGGAGUGAGGGUGCCUACAGUAUUCCAAAGACUUCUGUGCCCACCCAAAGAGGACAGAAAAGGAAGAGAGGUUGUUGAGGCAUUUGCUAAGUGCAGAAGAGAGCAGAGGAAGCCAGACAAAUAAGCAGGACAACGUGGAAAUCUCCAGGCUGGAUUUCUAGGUUUAAGAAGGACAGAGAUGGACAGUUCCCAUUGCAUGCCUGUUUCUGCCCUAGCUAGAUGGAAUACCCAUUCACUCAUUUGGUUCCGGUUCCGAAGAGCCAGGAAUUGUUUCUUUUGAGGCCCCAAAGAGCAAAGGCUGAUCCCGAGAGGGUGGCCAUCAGAUGGUGCUUGGCAUGGAGGGGCCAUGGCAGACUGGUCAAAGCCUAGAGGCAAAUGAAGUGAAGGCAUGUUUACCAAACAACAGGGGAAAACCAAGCAAUUUCUUGUGUGCCAGGCACUGUACUAAGUGAGAUUCGAGGUCCAAAGAAGGGCCCAAACAGGAGCUCACAGUCUACUGGGGGAAUUGAUUGAGAAGGUAAACUUGGACAGCAGGCCAUUAGGGGAGAGGGGGGCAGGUAGACCAGGAAAGGCUCCUCUUAUACAAGAUGGUGGCUGAGAUUAGAAGAAGCAGAUGUCAAGGGAGGGAGAGCAUCCUAGGCAAGGGGGCUGGCCAGUGGAAAGGAACAAGAAGAGAUGGGAGGUGGGCCAAUAUGGCUACAUCACAGUGGAUAAAGGGAAGGAGCGUAUGAACAAAGGUUAUGAAAAGUUUGAAGGACUUCCUCUUUGAAAGGCCACAAUCGGGCCAACUGUUUGUCAGUGCCCAGGAGGCUUGACAUCUUCUAAUGGUCCCCCAAUCGGACUUUUUCUGGUAGCCUCGACCCAGGUCAAAUCCUAUCUUGUGCCAUCUUAACUCAGAGGACUGUCACGAUCUUGCAGAAGACAGGUUUCAAGGUCUUGGGGGGCGGGGGAAGUACACAACAGGAACCUUUGAGCUGUAAGUCCUCAGAUGCAAGGUUUUUAAAAUGAAUGUAGGAAGACUAGAAAAAGGAUGAUUUUUAAUGUGCAUUUCAGAAGAAGGCCAAAGGAGCCUAGAAGAACUGGGCAAAUUUAGCCCACCAACCCAAGCAAAACAUUUUGGGGAAUUUCUUGCCUGAUCACCCCACUGAAAACAUGGGCAACAGUCAAGGCUAUACUUGGAGGGGGGAAAUGGGCUCUUUCAUCCCAAAAGAUCCAGAAUGCUAAGCAGUCUCAUGAAGAAUGAAAGCAUCUAUCAAAAUCAAGUCAUCUCAAUGUCAUCAUAAAAGGUCACCACCACCACCAUCUCAGGGCUGCUAGCCACAAAGGCAUACAGUAAGUUGUAAAAAUGCAGGAAAGGGGUCAGCUAGGUAGCUCAGUGGCCUGAAAGCCAGGCCUAGAGACUGGAAGAUCCUGGGUUCAAAUGUGGCCUCAGAUACUUCCCAGCUGUGUGACCCUGAACAAAUCACUUAACCCCCAUUGUCUAACCCUUAUUGCUCCUUUGCCUUGGAAGCAACACACUGUAUGGAUUCUAAAACCGAGGGUAAGGGCUAGAGUUUUUUUAAAAGUGAAUCUUUAAACUGAAAUGUUCAUUUCUUUUUUCUAUCCAAAGCCAAAGUCCACCAGCACUUCACUGGCCCCUGGUGGAACUCUCAGAUCCAAAGGCCCUACUUCUAAGAAUCUGCUCCAGAAUACAUAGUGUCCUGAGUGUUCCUGGAUUGGGGGUUGCUAUAGAAUUCCAUCUCUUUCCUCUCUCCCAGAUGAGCAGAAUCUUUAACUUCUUUCAAAAUGGAGCUGAGGGACCAUCUCUUACCUACACAAGCUUUUCCUAUCUUCUCUCUCUCUCUCUCUCUCACACACACACACACACGUUAUUCCCAUCUUGAAAUUGCCAUUGAUCACUAUGAACACACUUCCUGUAUCCUCCCAUCCCAGUUAGACUGCGUUUUGUUUUUGUCUUUGUAGCUGGCAUCUAAUAGGCCAUCAAAUUGAAUUCAAAAAGCAAUCAGAAGUGGUAUCUUGGGGCCAGGCACCACAUCUCAUUUUGGGAGAGAGACAGUUUUGAACUGAAGCCAUGGCCCCUUUCUGGACCACUUGGAGUCACUGAGCAACUUGGAGCUGGUCACUUGCCCUCUCUAACGUUUUUCUUUCCACAUCUGUAAAAUGAGGCAGCUGGUGUAUCUAAACUAAGGUUUGGGGAUCACCAGGAUGAACUGAAGGAAGUGAACACGAUGGACUAUCACUAUGUAUGAGAAACUGCCCAUUGGACAUCUUGAACCCAUUUUAACAUGUGCAAAACUGAGCAUCAUCGCCAAACUCUUCUCCUCAGGUCUUCCUUCCUUUCCAACUUCCAUAUUACUGUUGACACCACACCACCCUCCCAAUUCCUAGGCUUCAUUCGGGCUUCAUUCUCCGUCUCCCAAAUUGUUCGAUCUGUUGCUAUUGAUUCUGCCUUCCCAUCUUCUCUCAGAUGUCUGCUUCUGCCACUAACCUGGUAUAGGUUCUUAUCUGAUCAGUCCUGAAUAUUCAGUAGGCUCCCUGCCUCCAGUUUCUCCCCACUCCAAUCUGUCCUCCAUUUCAGCCAACAAUGACCUUCCUGAAGUAGGAGGCUGCCACAUGACUCCUCAGUUGAUUCCAUUACCUCCAGGAUCACACAGGAAAAACUCCAUUUGUCCAUCAAAGCCCGUCAUAGCCUGCUGUUACACAUGCACAGCUUUCCAGUCUGUUUAUACUUUGCAAUUCUGCAGUUGCUGCUCUUUGAAGUAGACUUCUUUCCUGAGUUCAUUUUCACUGGCUGUCUUCUAUGCCUAGAAAUUUCUGCCUGCCUUCACGUAACAGCUAAAAUUCCAUCUACCAGAAACCUGUCCCAGCUCUGCCUCGAUGCUGCUGCCUUCCCUUGGUUGCUCAACCCUAGUUACUAUCUGGAUCUUGUUUGUAGGAUGUAUCCCCGAUUACACUGUGAGCUCUUGGGGGUAGGACUGCCUGUGGCCUUGUUGGCUUAUCUCCAGUGUGUAGCACAGGUUCUGGCACAUAGUAGGUGCUGCGGUAAUGACUUUUCAGUUGACUGGCAAAAUCCAGAUCCUACUCAUCUCUAAGAUUACUAGAGAUUUACCAGAUGUUCACAAUUCUUGAAAGUCACAAAGCUAAUGGUUGAGGCAGAACUUGAACCCAGGCCUUCUGACUGGGAAUCUAAUUCCUCAUUCAGACUACUUGAUAGAUAAAGCAACUGAGUGUUAGAGAGGCUAAGAAGUCAUUUAUUCGAAAUCAGGCUGCGGUUUCUUACUGUUUUUCUUGUAGGGGAGGGCUUCUCUUUGUUGCCUGUUACAGAGAUGAUCCAAAGGUUAUCCCAAAAGAGAAGUGGCCUGAUAUUUUUGUGGCCACUAGCCCUCAGAAUAGGCUUCCAGAGACCUCUGUAACAUGAGACUAGUUGUGGGACCUUUUAAUAACAGUUGGCAUUUAGAUAGCCCUGGAGCAUUCAUAACACACUAUACCUACAGUCUCACCUGAGCCUCAUAAUACCACAUUUUGCAGAUCAAGAAACAGAAUCUGAAUAGUAAAAUGACUUGCCUAGGGUCUCACAGACAAGUGUCAGAGGUGAAAUCUGAGCCCAGGUCUUUUUGACUCUGGGCCUACCAUCCUUAGCCAUGAUGUCACUGCCUCCACUCACAAGCUCUACAUAAAUAAAGUUAAUAAAAACCACAGGCACAAGAGUUCACAGAAAGACAUGGAAAUCAAGAUGGUUCUGUUAGUACUUUCACAAGAUCUCUUUAGGGAACUAGAACUCAUCUUCUACCUGCCUGUAAGCUGUAUUAAGGUAAGGACAAGUCUUUUCUAAAUGCCUGGGACAGGGGGCAGCUGGGUUGAUCAGUGGGUUGAGCCAGGCCUAGAGAGAAGGUCCUGGGUUCAAAUGUGGCCUAUCUGGAUGACCCUGGGCAAGUCCCUUCACCCCCAUUGCCUAGCCCUUACCACUCAUCUGCCUUGGAACCAAUACACAGUAUUGAUUCCAAGAAGGAAGGUACGGGUUAAAAAAAUAAAUGCCCUGGACAGUGUGCCACAAACAGCCCUUGGGUAAAUGCUAUUCAAGUCUAGGGAGCCAUCAAGCAUACUGUCCUCCAUGCCUCAAAUAUUACAUUCCUCAGGAGUCCCAGACCAGUUGACCAAUCUCACGGUGACGUUCUGUAGUCCUCAGGCAGAGGGUAUAGUGGACAAAAUGCUGGACUGGGACAGAGAUGGGACCCUACCUCACAUGAUUCCUAGCUGUUUGGCACUGGGCAAGUUCCUUAACUUCCCCAAACUUGUCUAUAAAAUGAAGAUACUAGCAGUGGUCUUACAGCAAAAUUAUAACUAGCAUUUAUACAGUGUUUUCAGACAUGCAAAGUACACGUCAUCCAACUAGGUGCCCAUUUUAUUAUUUAUUUUUAUAUAUAUUUAUUGUCCCCAUUUGAAAGAUGAGGAGCUGAGGCCAAGCCCACAGAAGGCAGAACUGGGAAUAGCAGAAGUCAUAUAGAUGGAUAUCUCUGGUGGAAAUCAAAUUUAGUGGUCUCAAAAUGGACCAGGCCUUCCCUGAAAGCCAGACGAUUAUUUGGAGGAUGUAUCGUGAAGGAGGUUACCAUUGGGGCAUGCUUAAGCCAAAUGCCACUGACACCUCUGCUAAUACUAAAAUACAGUUCACAUUCUAAAAGCUCUCUGAAAGGAACAUACAUGUGCAUGUGUAUGUAUGGUAAAGGGUGGUUCCUGGACUCAGAGUCACCAGAUUUGAGCAGGGGUGGGUUUGGGAGGAAGCAUAGCUUCAUUUCAUACAGACAGCUUCCUGUGGACUGCUGGGGCUCUUGAGUAGAGGCGUUCCCAUGGAUUUUUUUCUCCUUUUUGAGAUUGGGUCUCCAGAUCUCACUCAAACUGGAAGUGCAGCAGCCACUCAUGAGAGCCCUAGCCUACUUUUUAAAUUGUAAUCGCCAAGUAUCAGCUUUAUUUUGUUGUUGAUGACCUUCCAUUUUGGUCACCACUUUAUAUUUUGCAGGGCUGGUUCAUUUUUGCCAAGCCUACUUAUGAUGGGCCUGGGGUGGGGGGAAUCGUGAUCUGCCUCCUGUCCAGCCAGUCGGCCCCUCCUUAGGCUCAUCGUCAUUUUGAUGCUGGAUUUAGGAGCUCCUGAUCAGCUUCAAUCCUAUUGCAGCUUAGAACUGGCAAGCAUAAGCUCUUAGACAGCUGGGUGGUGCAGUGGCUAAAGGGUAGGGCCUGGAGUCAGAAAGGCCUGAAUGCAAACCCAGCUGCAGACAUUUGUUAGCUGUGUGACUCUGGGCAAGUUACUUCACUUUGGUUUCCUCACAUGUAAGAGAGACAUUCAGGACUGUUGUGGGGGGCGAAAUGAGAAUUUUAUAGGCUUGGCCUAAUGCCAGUGCCUGGCAUUAGUGGGCACAAUAUGAAGUCUGAUUCCCUUCCUCACAAGGGGUCGGCCAGCCUCAACCUCCCCUGUAGCAAGGGUUACCAGCAGGUGCCCCUCCCCACACACACACACACACUGCCAAGGAUUGCUUUUUUUAAAUCCUUCCUACUUCCAAGAGGACUUGGUGGUUUCUGGUUUGCCAAGCUCUUUUUGUCACCUGUCACAAGACGGAUUUGAAGACGCAUGAUGCCACCCCGACUUUCAAGGCCAAUGAGAUCAUCUCUACAAGGCAAACACAUUCCUCAACACAUUCUCCCACCUAUGAGGAUAAUGACUUUACAGAUGAGGAGACUGAGGCCCAAUGAGACAAAGUGGUUUAUUUGUUCACAGCACCGCAGCAAGCAGAACCCAAAAUGUGAUGCCCAGUUCUUGCCAAUGAGGCCCAUUUUUCAGCCUGUCUGCUCCCAUUCCCUCUUAACAUUCUGCCCCACUGUUGCCCUGUGCCAGGGUUAGGACCACACACAGUCUACUCCCUUUAGAGUUAACCAGAUGGCAUAAAUGCCCAGGAAGCUGUAGCAGCCCCCGAAGAAAAAGAAGAGUCUUAAGAGUUUAGAAAGAUAAUUUAUUAUCUACAUGACCUUAGGCAAGUCAUUUUUCCUGUUUCCUCAGUUGAAAGAUGAGGAGUUGGACUAGAUCAUCUCAGAGGCCCCUUUCCAGGCCCUAAAUCCAUGAUUCUGUGACUUUCAUCUUGCAGGGGAAGACCCUGACCAUACAGUGGAUUAGUAUGAAUCGGCAAGUAAUCAUGUUUUGAAAUUCUAUUCAGUGUGAAAUGCCCAAUCACAAAGAGUUCUUAUGGUAGAAUUGAUUCCCAAGCCAGGAUCUGCCUCCCUCACUAGGCCAUCAAACUCCCCCCCCCCCUUUUGCCCCAGAUCUGAUCCCUAACCCCUCCCUUAUGUCUAGGACAUAGCUCCCUUGGAUGCUAUCCCUAGGGUUUCAGGAACCGGCAGUCAGGACUGCAUUGGGAGGCCCCUGGGUCAGAUCCGGCACUGAGUCACUCCCACCAGGAUCACUGUAGUACAUGGUGGCCAACUGUCAUUAAAUCAACCUAUUAGCAUUCAACUACACUGUGGACUCAAUGGGUGCCUGGGAACCUGACCACCAUUUGUCAACUUUGUUUCUGUGGGGAAACGGGCUCAAGCAAAGAACUCCCAGACUGUCUCCAAAAUGAAACAGGACCAAGAUGAGGCUUUAUAAAGCAAGAACUGUGAGAUACAGACAGGAAGGAGGGAAAUGACAGAGAGGGAAGAAAAAAAGAAGAUGGGGGAUGAUGGACUAGAGUUUGCAGUUGGGCCCCUGGCCAGGCUAGCACCCAGUCUUGAGCCAGAAGGGACCUUAAUGACUUCCCCAAGUGGGCCUCUGGGUAAGGGAGCAGCCACCCCAGACCUUUGGGAGAGCUAUCAUUGUUAAGGUUUUUUUCCUUACACCAAGCUGGAAUGGAACUCACAACAAGUUCCACCCAUCCCUCCUAGAUCUGCCCUCCAGAGCCAAGCAGAACAAUGUUAAUUCCUCUUGCACAUGGCAGCCCAGCUCAAUACUCAUCUGGUUUGAACUUUCCAUAAUCUGUAACACCAUCACUCGCCCUUUCCUUCUCUCCCAGUGUUCAUGGCCCUAAUUUCUCUUGCUUUUGCCUCCUGACCACUCCUCAGUCUCCAUCUAGGGGCCCCCCACUUGUCACAGGGUGCCUCAAGCUUCUGUCCUAGGCCCCUCUUAGGCAUUAGUUCCUUGAGUGAUCUCAUCAGCUCCCAUUGACAGCAUCCCUAUGUAGAUUGCUAUCCAUACUCUAAGGUCCAGCCAUAUUGAAUGGUCUUCCUCAUGCAAAUGUUCCUUCUUUGUUCCUUUGCACUGGCAGCCUUCCCCAUUCUUGGAAUGUAUUCCCUUCCUCUCAGAGUGGGAAAGCUUCCUCCAGAAAGUACCAUUUGAGCUUUAAGAAAGUCUCCAUGUAUUUUGCAUGUGCCAACUAGGUGUCCUGGAAUCAGAAAGACCUGAGUUCAAAUCUAACCGCAGACACUUAACUAGCAGUGUGAUCCUGGGAAAGUCAUUUGGUCUGCCUGCCUCAGUUCCCUCAAUUGUAAAAUAGGGAUAGUAACACCCACCUCCGGAGGUGGUUGUAAUGUAUUUGUGUUUUGCAAGGACUGUUUUAAGUGUGAGAUGAUCUCAAAAUAGAUAGCAGGCCCCAGGAAAAAAAGAUCUGGAUUCCCUUUCCUCCUCUGACACAUAAUGGCUAUGUAACUCUGGACAAGUCAUAGAAUUUUUUAGUGCUCUAGGCCACUCCAAGACUAAGCUGCAGAGAAGAUGCUAAGCUGCACUGUCAGGCUCACCAGGAAGUUCUCUGUAUCUCUAUCCAAUCUCCAUUUUAGAAAAGAGUAAACAAGCUUAGAGGGCAGUCCUCAGUCACAAGGCUAAUAAGACUGAUGGGAGGCCAGGCUAGCAGAUUUCCAAUCCAUAAAUUCCACAAAGGCUUAGGACUUUGUAGGGUUCUGAAAGGCUUCUUCAAUUUGUAUUUCUAUGAGUAUGAAGCCCAAGUCCAAGAAAAUCUGGUAAGUAAUUUCCAGAAGACAAGCUUGGCUUCCUUUUGCCUCCCUCACCCUCUGCUCCUAGCCUCCUACAUACACUUCCUUUCCCAGAAGUCCUUUCCUUUCUAGCUCUAAAUCUAUUAUCUUAACUCCUUAUUUAUCCUCUUCAUUUGACAGGGUUAGAAACUGAGGUACAAAGAAGAGACUUACAAUGAGAUGAGUGUAGAUCCCCUUCUCCAUCCCGCUCCCAAACCUUCCAUGGCAUGGCCACUGGCCCAUAAAAAGACCUUCAUCUCAGAUGAGUUUCUCUUCUUCCCUAUCCCCAGCUUAUCCAUCAUUCCAAGCUUGCCCUAAAGUAGACCAAGACUUUCUAAAUCUUUUAUCUCUAUACCAAAAGUGAUUGAACUAGACAAGUUGGAAGCCCUUCCUGAGAUACCUUAUGGUACAUUAAAAGUCCAUUUUAAGGAAUUAUGGGAUUUUGGAGAAAGCUGGUCUGGAGUAAGAAGUCCUGCCUAUACCUAAGUAACUGACCCUAAAUGGCCUCAGAUCUGCAUUGGAAAUACCGUAAAACAAGAACUACCCUUUUCCCUUUGAGGGGGUAUACACAGAGAAUUCCUCCCACCCGAGGCCCAGCUCCAGAGUUUGCCCGCUUAAACCUAGAGAGCAAGUCUGAUCAGGGGCAGAACACAUACGCAAGAGCUCACACACACCCAGGCACACUCUUGUGCCCCCACUCCACCCCCCAAACAAAAAUGAUUUCUGCAUUCUUCAGUUUCUGAUCGGUCACCCACCCGCAUUGAGCCAGCAGUUGCUUUCAAAGUGUAGGCUUUCCCAGUUGUAGCUUAACUGUACCAUCUUCCAUUUCAUUAUGUUGAGUCAUAGGCCUCUAAAACCUUAAUUAUUAUGAUAACACCUCCCUGCCCCCCAACCAGGAGUCAGGGACUAAAGUCCAGCCUUUCAAGCUUCCCCCCCAGGUCCCCAGCACACUCAUUUCACCAGAUUUCUUUUUGAGAAGACUGAUUAAUAAACUUUAUUACAGAAAAUGAAUGCAUCCAAGAAGGUCCCUAGAUACACUUUUUGACAAAAACAUAAACAUGGGAGAGACACUUUUGACAACAGUUGCUACAUCAUCAAGCUCAGGUUUUUUGUUUUUGAGUGUUUGUUCCCCCCCCCCCCAAAAAUCGGACUGUUCAGGGAGGAAGGAGGUAAGAGAAGCAGAACAGGGGAGGAAAGAGUAUGAGACUAAAGUAUUGGGGGUACCCUAAAACAGGUCAGCAUGGUAAAAAACAAUGAAACAGACCUGGCCCCACCCCAAAUCAAGGCCUUACAAACAGCCUCAAGUCUUAAAGGGGUUAGGAGAUAAGAAUAUUCCUCUGAUAAGCAAAUGUUUUUCCUUAAUUCCUAGACUAGCUUUAAUUUGGAAGAAAUCUAAUUGGCAAUCCUCCAUCCCAAUAGCCACAGGAAAUUUAUCAUCCAGUUGGUCUUCAGAACCACUCAACACAUUAGCAGUUAACAGUAAGUUAGACAAGAUAGAGGGUGGGGGCAGGUGGGGAAUGAACCUAACUUGGGCCACAUGAGUCGUAUUUGGGUGCCCUUUAUUAACAAACCCCAGUUCUGCCUCUAGGUUUAUAGUUUACAACCUAAAAUGACAACUCAAGGUCAAGGGGAGCAGUAGACACAGGAUCCAAAGAGAGUUCAAAGGGACAGGGCUUCUGGUUGGUCCAAUAACUGAUGGGCAUGAUGCUGACUGAGCACUAAGACUGAGGCACAAAUCACAGGGGAGGCUACUGGGCAACCUUCAAACCAGCUACUCCUCAGAUGGAAAAGCAGGCCGACCUCAUGCCCCAUUUCAGAACAGUUGCCCAUGAACGUAGCUAUCCCUAUCCCCUUGGCUUUGUCUACUCCUGAGACUUGGUCCUUGGGAUGAGUUUUUAGUGAGGCCUGGGAAAUGCAAAUGUAAAGAUGGAGGCAGAGGGGCCUAGUAUCUCUUUAGUCCUAGAUGCCACCCCCUGGAGCUCAAUGUGAAGGGGGGGGUGGGAAUAAGGGAGGUGUUACAGAGAAAGGAGGUCUUUCUCAUGGGAGGGAGUUAAAGAAUAUGCCUCCAACUAUGCACUCAGCAGCCAAACCCCUUAAUGGUGCUAGGUCUGAAUUUAACACAUACUGUGUCCUAACUUACAGAGGCUCCACAGGUGACCACAUUGGUCAGAAUGGCUCAUCUCCACAAGACAAAACAACCCUAAGCCUUUGCCAGAAUUUAGGAUAUAGGGAAAUACCGUCCCAGUACAAAGGAAAAACCAUCAACAAAAGACCAUUUGACCAACUUUAGAAUAAAAGACCAGCAGGAGAGUAGGGGAGAACAAGAC